GGAGCCCUUGAGAACAGGAUUAGUGCUCUCAUAAAGCAGAAGCCAGAGAGCUUGCUUGCUUUCCUUCCACGCUGUAAGGACACAAUGAGAAGCUGGCAGUCUUCAACCUGAACCAACCAUGCUGGCACCCUGAUCUUUAACUUCUAGCUUCCAGAACUGUGAGAAAUACAUUUCUGUUGUUUAUAAGCCAUCUAGUCUAUGGUAAUUUGUUACAGCAACUCAAAGUGACUAAGAUGCUCAAGAAGAAAUAAAGGAUACACAAGAAACUGAUAACAUUAGUUAACUGCACUGAGAAGAAUUAUGCAGCUGAGGGGCAGAGCCAGGAACCCUAAGACAGUGAAGGAAAAUCUCUUCCUCCCCUAGAGCUUCUGGUACCCAAUGAAGGGCCACAUCAGCUGGGGACACCUUGCUCAGUCCAGAAGCUGCUGUUCAAAGAUCCUGGACUUCCCAUCUGACAAAAGCCAGCAGAAGGUAAAAAUUCUUACAUCAGUGUUGAGUCUCUGCCUUCAGGGCCUGGUGGAGCAAAAGUGGGAGAACGGACUUGCCUUGUCUUAGAUGAGACUUUGGAAAGUGGACUUCAGAGUUAAUGCUGAAAUGUGUCAAGACUUGGGCGACUGUUAAGGAGGGAUGAUUGUAUUUUGCAAUGUGAGAAGGACAUGAGAUUUGGGAGGUGCCAGAGGUGGAAUGAUAUGGUUUAGAUUUGUGUUCCCACCCAAAUCUCAUGUCAAAUUGUAAUCCUCAGUGUGGGAGGAGGAGCCUGGUAGGAGGUGAUUGGAUCAUGAGAUGCAUUUCCCUCCUGCUGUUCCUGUGAUAGUGAGUUCUCAUGAGAUUUGAUUAUUUAAGUGUGUAGCACCUCCCUCUGUGCUCCCUUCCUCCUGCUCUGGCUGGGCAAAAUGUGCCUGCUUCCUUUCUACCAUGAUUGAAAGUUUCCUGAGGCCUCCUCAGCUAUGCUUCAUGUACGGCCUGUGGAACCAUGAGCCAAUUAAACAUCUUUCUUUAUAAAUUACCCAGUUUCAAGCAUUUACUUAUAGCAGUGCAAGAAUGGACUAAUACAAUAAUAAAUGUAAAUAUGCCCAGAAGAAAAAUGAAAAGGUGUUAGCAAUGUAUCUCAAUAUGCUUACAGGCCAAUAUUUUUUUCAUGUCUUAAAAAAGGUGAGUUUGUCCCUCCAUACACAGGGUCUAACAAUCUCCAUCCUUUCGUCCUUCCUUUCUUCCAGGGGGAGGGAGGAGGAGUACACCUCUUUCAUACAGCCUCAGCCCCUCUCCUUCUUGCCAUCCUACA
Molecule: long non-coding RNA, 1282 nt
Filed under: Homo sapiens (human)
Lineage: Eukaryota; Metazoa; Chordata; Mammalia; Primates; Hominidae
Description: HSALNT0080149
Source: RNAcentral